RNAcentral lists this long non-coding RNA (551 nucleotides) under Elaeis guineensis (African oil palm). RNAcentral describes it as "long non-coding RNA (EGUI_LNC063425)". The record is from RNAcentral. Lineage: Eukaryota; Viridiplantae; Streptophyta; Magnoliopsida; Arecales; Arecaceae.
AAAGCAUUUGAGAUUUUACCAGGUCGAGGAAUCCUGUUUCUAUCAGACAGUUGGAGUGCGACAUCGCGUUGAAGUCACCACAGACAACCCAAGGUCGAAGAAAGCAAGAUCUGAUAAGUCGAAGUUCCCUCCAGAAGAGUCUUUUGAUGCGACGUUCGGUGGGGCCUUAGACAGUAGUGAAGGUCCGAGGAACAUUUAGGAGCUGAUCAUGCCAAAGGGCAGUAAUGGCAGAGUGAUCACCGACCUACUUCCUGAGCAGGUCAAAUCGUAAGUUAUUCCAGUCAAGAAGAACUCCCCCCGCUGAGCCAGAACCAUUGCAGACAAUCCAGGAAGAGAUUUUGCCCCUCGAGAGGGACCGAAAAGUGGCAGGAGAGGCAUUCUCAAGCUUGGAUUCCUGAAUACCAAUGGCGUGGCAGUCAUUGGCCAUGAUGACGUCUUUGACAAUCCUUCUCCUGACAGGAUCGCCAAGACCCCUAACAUUCCAUGAAAUCAGAGCCAUAGGAGAAAGAAUUCAUCAGUAUCCAAGGUAAGAGGUUGGAGAAGCAGCAGAG